RNAcentral lists this ribosomal RNA (466 nucleotides) under uncultured bacterium. Its description in RNAcentral is "partial 16S ribosomal RNA". It matches the Rfam family "Bacterial small subunit ribosomal RNA", at positions 28 to 507 of the family's 1533-position model. The record is from RNAcentral.
GAUGAACGCUGGCGGCGUGCUUAACACAUGCCAGUCGAACGGAAAGGCCCAAGCUUUCUUGGGUACUCGAGUGGCGAACGGGUGAGUAACACGUGGGUGAUCUGCCCUGCACUUCGGGAUAUGCCUGGGAAACUGGGUCUAAUACCGGAUAGGACCACCUUUUGGAUGGUGUGGUGGAAAGUUUUUCGGUGUGGGAUUAGCUCGCGGCCUAUCAGCUUGUUGGUGGGGUAAUGGCCUACCAAGGCGUCGACGGGAAGCCGGACUGGGGAAGUGUACGGCCAAAUAGGGAAGGAGAGAAGGCCCAGACGGCGAAGGGAGGAAGAAGGGGGGAAGAGUGAACAAGGGGCGCAAGCCGGAUGCAGAGAGGCCGCGGGGGGGAAGACGGCCUUGGGGUUGAAAAAAACGUUCGCUAGGGACGAAGCGUGAUGUGACGGUACCUGGAGAAGAAGCACCGGCUAACUACGUG